This is a long non-coding RNA of Betta splendens (Siamese fighting fish), 2006 nucleotides long. RefSeq lists it as uncharacterized. Lineage: Eukaryota; Metazoa; Chordata; Actinopteri; Anabantiformes; Osphronemidae. The record is from RefSeq and is a predicted model, not a curated record. The transcript is spliced from 3 exons.
UGAAAACCGAAACACAAACACAAAGCCUCGCUUAGCAGACAGAAACAGAGGCAGUAUGAAUAACAACUGGAACACAACAACAUGAUGGAAAACAGAACGUGGGUGAGGAGAGUGACAACAUGCUACAGCCUGACAAAUCAUCAUGAGGGCUGAGGUGAGCUCGCUGUGGUCGGUGGGACGGAAAUGGGAAGGCGCCACCAUCUCACUAUGGCCAGAGGUGACCUGAUGAUGGACCUAUGGGUUCAAGGAUCCAUUUUUCUGGGAACACAAGUCAUUUUCUGGUUCCUUCAUACAUCUUUUUAAGAAAGUUGCAAUGAUAAGAAAAAACAUAAUAAUGGCUCAGUGUUUGUACAAAAUUGUACAAUUUGAAUGUGAAAUUGUAGUAACUGUACAGAAUAGUGUGAGUUCUGCCACUCAGUGUGAAUGGACCCUACCUGCACUGCAGAGAAGAACACAGCAGCACACAGAUAAUUCCUGAAUCACUCCAGGUAUAACUGGUGCUAUGCUGGUUCUAGAAACCAAAUCAGACCAUCCUAUCUGAAUACAAAAGGCACCGCAAAGCAGGAAAUCUACAAUUUGGAACUCUGGAAAAAGUCCAAACAAACAAGUCCAUGUGGGCCCCCCUCUGGUUGGAGGACCAAACUGCAACAAACUGUCAAGAGUUCUUCCUUUGACUUUUGCCAGCAGGUCCACGUCUGCAGUGACACACAGCAUAUGUGCGUGCACACGUCUUAGCGCUUCAGGCAUGUUAUCACAAGAAGACAAGAGUGGUAUGACAUCAUCAUGACAUCACAGGGACUCAGUCACCCUCCAUCGUUUUCUGGGCAGUUCACUAAGGGACCUGUAACUAACAGCAAACACACUCCCACGCUCCUCUUGCCUUUACUGAAGAAUUCCAUGCGAUGGAAGCAGAACGGAUUCCUGGAAGUCAUGUUCCACUGCUUUAUGGUGAACAAACAACACUGUAAAGCGGCUGCUGACUGUUGUGGGACAUCUGUCUGUUGCCGUGCCCUCACCACCCACUUCAGACUGAACAACGGUACCAUACAAGUCACACAUUUUCUCUGUUUGCAUACAUUUAGAAGAAUUGGAAAAUAGGACAUGUGUUGCAGUAAGUUAAUACUUUUGGUUUAUUUAGGCUGUUUCUAUUCACGGGAACGUCACUAUGAAGAGGUUGCAGCCAGCAGUAAGAGAUAAACAUGAGAUUGUCUGCAAAGAGGCCAUGACCUCUGCAGAGAAAACUUCUGCAAAGGAAGAUUCUGUCUGUGGUUAUAUUGAUUGUCAUGUAUUUAUAGUCAAUAAUUCCCAAAGUCCUUGGCUUUUAGUCCAGCCUACGCACUAAUGAACUAAUGCUAUGUUGAUUCUAUGCUAAGCCAAGAUUGAUACAAUACUCUCUCCAACACAGUGUACAACAGGUUAUUAUUUCAAAAUUGUUAGCAGUGGCUCAGUUGAAUUGGCCUGUUAGUACAUGGAAAUAGAAAAGAGGUUUUGGCAAUAAUGCAGUUCUGCCAACAUAUCUAUAUUUAGCUUUACAGUUUAUAUCAUUUAAUAUAAACUGUCAGGGAAUGGAAAAGAGUGCAAUGCAUUGUGUGCUCUGCAGAGAAGGUGAUUGGCUGUAACCUUCCAUCUAUGCAAGACCUGCACAUGUCAAGGACUCUGCCACGUGCAGGUCGGAUCCCGGAUGAUUCUUCCCAUCCUGGACAUGGACUCUUUGGGCCACUUCCCUCAGACAGGAUGUAACAGUGUGUUCGGACUAGAACUUCAUGUCACAAAAACAGCUUCUUCCCUUCUGCCGGUGGACUCCUAAAUAAGAAAUAACAUUAUCUUGCUCUGCCAUGUUCUGUAUCACACUCCUGCCUUGUAUUAAAUUGCAUUAAAUGUUUGAAUCUGCUGCACUUACUUCACUGGUUUAUGUUUAUGUCCUAUGAACUUUAUGUUCUAUGUGAGCACCAAUCCACCAAAGCAAAUUCCAAUAUGGUGUAAUAUUCACCGUACAUGGCAAUAAA